CAGCAGCCGCGGUAAUACGAAGGGGGCUAGCGUUGUUCGGAUUUACUGGGCGUAAAGCGCACGUAGGCGGAUCGAUCAGUCAGGGGUGAAAUCCCAGAGCUCAACUCUGGAACUGCCUUUGAUACUGUCGAUCUGGAGUAUGGAAGAGGUGAGUGGAAUUCCGAGUGUAGAGGUGAAAUUCGUAGAUAUUCGGAGGAACACCAGUGGCGAAGGCGGCUCACUGGUCCAUUACUGACGCUGAGGUGCGAAAGCGUGGGGAGCAAACAGGAUUAGAUACCCCCGUAGUCCCUGUCUCUUAUAC
This 301-nucleotide ribosomal RNA is filed under the name uncultured bacterium. RNAcentral describes it as "partial 16S ribosomal RNA". It matches the Rfam family "Bacterial small subunit ribosomal RNA", at positions 509 to 807 of the family's 1533-position model. The record is from RNAcentral.